Molecule: ribosomal RNA, 468 nt
Filed under: uncultured bacterium
Lineage: Bacteria
Description: partial 16S ribosomal RNA
Rfam family: Bacterial small subunit ribosomal RNA
Source: RNAcentral
GACGAACGCUGGCGGCGUGCUUAACACAUGCAAGUCGAACGGAAAGGCCCUGCUUUUGUGGGGUGCUCGAGUGGCGAACGGGUGAGUAACACGUGAGUAACCUGCCCUUGACUUUGGGAUAACUUCAGGAAACUGGGGCUCAUACCGGAUAGGAGCUCCUGCUGCAUGGUGGGGGUUGGAAAGUUUCGGCGGUUGGGGAUGGACUCGAGGCUUAUCAGCUUGUUGGUGGGGUAGUGGCUUACCAAGGCUUUGACGGGUAGCCCGCCUGAGAGGGUGAACGGCCACAAUGCGACUGCGAUACGGACCAGAAUCCUACGGGAGGCAGCAGGGGGGAAUAUUGCGGAAUGGGCGGAAGCCUGAUGCAGCAACGCCGCGUGCGGGAUGACGGCCUUCGGGUUGUAAACCGCUUUCGCCUGUGACGAAGCGUGAGUGACGGUAAUGGGUAAAGAAGCACCGGCUAACUACGUG